This is a long non-coding RNA of Sinocyclocheilus rhinocerous, 145 nucleotides long. RefSeq lists it as uncharacterized. The record is from RefSeq and is a predicted model, not a curated record. Lineage: Eukaryota; Metazoa; Chordata; Actinopteri; Cypriniformes; Cyprinidae. The transcript is spliced from 3 exons.
CUAAAUAAUAUAAAUUCUUUUGUAGGACUGUCAACUGAUCUCAUAUGUCCGAGACAACUGUGUGUGCUGCAGAGAUAACAUAAAAUGCCCUGCCUACCCCACUGAUCUUGUGAUUGCCAUGGACAUGUCUGAAGAUGUGUCUCCU